CAACUUUCAACAAUGGAUCUCUUGGCUCUGGCAUCGAUGAAAAACGCAGCGAAAUGCGAUAAGUAGUGUGAAUUGCAAAAUUCAGUGAAUCAUCGAAUCUUUGAACGCACAUUGCGCCCUUUGGUAUUCCAUUGGGCAUGCCUGUUCGAGCGUCAUUU
This 158-nucleotide ribosomal RNA is filed under the name Pleosporales sp. Its description in RNAcentral is "5.8S ribosomal RNA". It matches the Rfam family "5.8S ribosomal RNA". Rfam says of the family: 5.8S ribosomal RNA (5.8S rRNA) is a component of the large subunit of the eukaryotic ribosome. It is transcribed by RNA polymerase I as part of the 45S precursor that also contains 18S and 28S rRNA. Lineage: Eukaryota; Fungi; Ascomycota; Dothideomycetes; Pleosporales. The record is from RNAcentral.